This 253-nucleotide ribosomal RNA is filed under the name uncultured bacterium. RNAcentral's name for it is "partial 16S ribosomal RNA". It matches the Rfam family "Bacterial small subunit ribosomal RNA", at positions 524 to 776 of the family's 1533-position model. The record is from RNAcentral.
UACGGAGGAUCCGAGCGUUAUCCGGAUUUAUUGGGUUUAAAGGGUGCGUAGGCGGUUUGAUAAGUUAGAGGUGAAAUGUCGGGGCUCAACCCCGAAACUGCCUCUAAUACUGUUGGACUAGAGAAUAGUUGCGGUAGGCGGAAUGUAUGGUGUAGCGGCGAAAUGCUUAGAGAUCAUACAGAACACCGAUUGCGAAGGCAGCUUACCAAACUAUAUCUGACGUUGAGGCACGAAAGCGUGGGUAGCAAACAGG